Long non-coding RNA from Selaginella moellendorffii, 182 nucleotides. RefSeq lists it as uncharacterized. The record is from RefSeq and is a predicted model, not a curated record. The transcript has 2 exons. Lineage: Eukaryota; Viridiplantae; Streptophyta; Lycopodiopsida; Selaginellales; Selaginellaceae.
GUGGAUGUUCGACUGGGGGUGACUUUGUACAAGCUUUUCAAGAACACAGAUUACUUGGAUCUGGCGGACAAGUUCGGCAUCGGGGAGUCCACAGCUCAUGAGAUUGUACAUUUUCUUAUGUUUUUUGGAUUGUUAUAAGUUUUGAUGAGCAAUAGGAACCCGACUGCCUAAUGUUGCUGGGG